UCCAGACUCCUACGGGAGGCAGCAGUGAGGAAUAUUGGUCAAUGGCCGAGAGGCUGAACCAGCCAAGUCGCGUGAGGGAAGACGGCCCUACGGGUUGUAAACCUCUUUUGUCGGGGAGCAAAGCGAGUCACGUGUGACUCAUUGAGAGUACCCGAAGAAAAAGCAUCGGCUAACUCCGUGCCAGCAGCCGCGGUAAUACGGAGGAUGCGAGCGUUAUCCGGAUUUAUUGGGUUUAAAGGGUGCGUAGGCGGAGUGUCAAGUCAGCGGUAAAAUUUCGGGGCUCAACCCCGUCGUGCCGUUGAAACUGACACCCUUGAGUGAGUGAGAAGUAAGCGGAAUGCGUGGUGUAGCGGUGAAAUGCAUAGAUAUCACGCAGAACGCCGAUUGCGAAGGCAGCUUACCGGCGCUCAACUGACGCUGAGGCACGAAAGUGCGGGUAUCGAACAGGAUUAGAUACCCUCGUA
RNAcentral lists this ribosomal RNA (464 nucleotides) under uncultured bacterium. Its description in RNAcentral is "bacterial SSU rRNA". It matches the Rfam family "Bacterial small subunit ribosomal RNA", at positions 330 to 792 of the family's 1533-position model. The record is from RNAcentral.